AAUGAACGCUGGCGGCGCGCCUAAUACAUGCAAGUCGAGCGAGAAGACGUAGCAAUACGUUUGUAAAGCGGCGAACGGGUGAGGAAUACAUGGGUAACCUACCCUCGAGUGGGGAAUAACUAGCCGAAAGGUUAGCUAAUACCGCGUACGCUCCUUGGACUUCGGUUCAGGGAGGAAAGCGAUACCGUGGGUAUCGCGCUCUUGGUUGGGCUCAUGUCCUAUCAGCUUGUUGGUGAGGAACGGCUCACCAAGGCUUCGACGGGUAGCUGGUCUGAGAGGACGAUCAGCCACACUGGCACUGCGACACGGGCCAGACUCCUACGGGAGGCAGCAGUAAGGAAUAUUGCGCAAUGGGCGAAAGCCUGACGCAGCGACGCCGCGUGGGGGAUGAAGGUCUUC
This 399-nucleotide ribosomal RNA is filed under the name uncultured bacterium. RNAcentral describes it as "bacterial SSU rRNA". It matches the Rfam family "Bacterial small subunit ribosomal RNA", at positions 29 to 419 of the family's 1533-position model. The record is from RNAcentral.